UGACAGAAGGGGAAACAAUUUACCACCACCAACUUUCUCAGUUGUAAAUUAUCAAAUGUAGGAAUGUAAUUGUUAGCCAAUUUCUAGAUUGUAAUUUUUAUCUUACUCGCAAUUCUUAGUCUCCACAAUUUGUUGUAAAAAGUCUGUAACAUUUCCUAAUGUACCCCCUCCCCAGUAGGUAUUACCACAUCCCCAUUUAGUAGCCACUUAUACCCACUCCUUGCUGAAUAUACUCUUGUAUUAUCACCUCUCCAAACUCUCUCAUCCCCUAG
RNAcentral lists this long non-coding RNA (272 nucleotides) under Gossypium raimondii (Peruvian cotton). RNAcentral describes it as "long non-coding RNA (GRAI_LNC004400)". Lineage: Eukaryota; Viridiplantae; Streptophyta; Magnoliopsida; Malvales; Malvaceae. The record is from RNAcentral.